Long non-coding RNA from Herpailurus yagouaroundi (jaguarundi), 1474 nucleotides. RefSeq lists it as uncharacterized. The record is from RefSeq and is a predicted model, not a curated record. The transcript has 2 exons. Lineage: Eukaryota; Metazoa; Chordata; Mammalia; Carnivora; Felidae.
UUCCAGAAUGCAUGAGAUGCAUAUUCACAGUGCUGAAAGGCAGAACUCAACUAAGAAUUCUUUAUCUGCCAAAACUGCCCUUCAGAAAUGAAGAAGAAAUGAGACAAUCUUUGCACGUAAAAAGCAAGAGAAUUUGUCAGCAGUUGAUCUGCCUACAACAAAUGCUUCAGGAUGAAAUGAAAGAACACUGGACUUGAAUCUAUAUAAAAAUUAAAGAACAUGGGUAAAGUCCCAUAGGUUGACUCAGCGCUGGCAAGAUGGUCCUUAGAAAAAGGAAGUCUUUCAAAGAUCACUUGCAUCACUUCUCUCCACUUUUCAGGAGUCCUGCUGUUUUCCUUCAUCCAGCAUAUAAUUUUUGAAUAGGUUAAUGAAGUGAGAUCUUUUCACCAUUCUAAUUCUGCAUAAAAAAUAAGUAAAUAAAAGAGUGGGCUUACCAUUAUUAGUCAAUAGGAAAUGCAAAUUAAAACCAUAGUGAGAUACCCCUACAUAUGCACCACAAUGGUUAGUAUUAAAUGGUUGGACAAUACAUAGUGUUGGCAAGGAUAUGAAACAACUGGAAUUCUUAAUGUUGGUGGGAGUGUAAACUAGUAUAGCCACUUGGGAAAACUAUUUGUUAUAGCAAAUAUGCUGUUGCAGAAUUUUUUACCAGAGUUUGUUGUCUCCUGCUUUGAAGAAUGAAGAGGUCAACACAACUAAAAUCAGCAGGCAAAACUUUAUUAGAGUAUAAGAUCAGAAAGUAAGAAUAGUAUGAAAGCUCUUUUUAUACAAAAGGGGCAUUCGAAAGUGAAUGCCCGCAACUGUAGGCAAGGGACUUUGUUUUAUGGGGUUUUCUCGGCCCCGUUCCUUCCCCCUCGUUCCUUCUCAGGCUCUACCCUUAUUGGCUUGAUAAUUUUAGGUGCUGGCUUGUCCAUUCCUGAUUGACUUGAUUCCAUUAUGUGAGGAGUCAGACUAUGGUCCUACCAUCUCACAUAUAACCUGGAAGCAAAACCAAAUGCUUAUCAACAGGAGAACAGAUAAUGUGGUGUCUUCAUGCAGUGAGCUACAGACUACUCUGCAAGAAAAAGGGCUAAGGGCAAACUGCUGAUACACAAAUGUUGAAUCUCACAAAUAGGCUUUGCAUAAAAAGCUAGACACAAAAGAAUAUAUAAUUUAAGUUUCCAUUUGUAUAAAGUUCAAAAAUCAGGUAAAACUGAUCUAUAUAAUAAGUAGAAUACCAUUUAUCUUAUGGGCACUGACUGACAUGUCGCACAAAAGAGCCAGUUUAGAGGCUGAGAAUGUUCCCUGUCUUGUUCUGGAUGUUGGUUCCAUGAGUAUAUACAUAAAAAUUUUAAUUAAAUGCUGAAAAAAGGUUGCUAUUCUUGAAGUUCUGUUUGUACUUUAUGUUAUGUGAGAUAGCUUAAGAUCUUGAAAUAUGUAUCAUUACUCUGUCCGUGUUGUUCAAAUCAGGGAUAAAUAAAACUAUGUAAUUAAAUCA